RNAcentral lists this unclassified non-coding RNA (232 nucleotides) under fungal sp. Its description in RNAcentral is "partial internal transcribed spacer region". The stretch from base 1 to 46 matches the Rfam family "Eukaryotic small subunit ribosomal RNA", at positions 1786 to 1831 of the family's 1831-position model. The record is from RNAcentral. Lineage: Eukaryota; Fungi.
AAGUCGUAACAAGGUUUUCGUAGGUGAACCUGCGGAAGGAUCAUUAGUGAAUUCUGGGAGUCCCUCUUAACCGGAGAAGGCCCGCUUACACUUAUUCUUACACACUGUGCAUUUGUCCUUUUUUUACAAACCUUACCAUUUUUUAACACUUGGUGCAUUAUAAAAAAGUGAUUGGAUACAAACGAAAGUUGAUAAUUGAGAAAAACUUUCAGCAAUGGAUCUCUUGGCUCUC